Long non-coding RNA from Chiloscyllium plagiosum (whitespotted bambooshark), 721 nucleotides. RefSeq lists it as uncharacterized. Lineage: Eukaryota; Metazoa; Chordata; Chondrichthyes; Orectolobiformes; Hemiscylliidae. The record is from RefSeq and is a predicted model, not a curated record.
AACAUCAAUGUGGAGGUAGGUGUCUCGCACGGUGGUGGAAGAAUGUUACACGCCUACAAGCCUAGCAACAACCUGAAUGCUCAAGGUAUCAUCCAGACCUCCCAAAAUCCGGCAUUUGAAGCGCUUCACAUCAACCACGCCAUUGCCACGACACUGAUAAAUGGCAGAUUCGACAUUUAUAGCUUUUUUUAAAAAAAAAUCACUGAUAGUAAAUCCCGCAACCACUCCCUGGACUUUCCCGAAACCGCCUCUGGCGCCUGUCCAUCACCCGGUCCCGUGUCCAUCACCAUGAAACUCCCCGGACUCUCCUCUCCCGUCGGCGGCCAAUCAACCAAGGAGAGAAGCCUUUAGGUUGGAUACACUACGUGGGGAGAAAAAGCCUGGACUGAUUCAAAUGGAGAAAUCUCUGUCAUCAAGCAACCUCAGAUUUGAGGAUAACAGAAUCAGAGCUCUAUGGGACAGUGGUGACAAGAUGUUGGUGAAAAAAAAAAUCAGUGAUUAAACAUCCUGAAGUUUCCAAACUGGAAGUAAGAUGAUAACUAGGAAGAAGACCAUCUCAGAGUGAAUACAUGACAAAUAUUGCGACUUUUUUAUAAUACAAUUUGGUUCCCCAAAUACUCAAAAUUAAAAUCAUUGUGGAACCCUAUCACUAAACAUUUUUAAUAAUAUCUUGCAAACAUAUUUUGUAUUUUUAGUACUUUUUAUUUAAAGCAGCCAAUGU